AUUGAACGCUGGCGGCAUGCCUUACACAUGCAAGUCGAACGGCAGCACGGGAGCAAUCCUGGUGGCGGGUGGCGAACGGGUGAGUAAUGUAUCGGAACGUGCCCGGUCGUGGGGGAUAACGCAGCGAAAGCUGUGCUAAUACCGCAUACGAUCUAUGGAUGAAAGCGGGGGAUCGCAAGACCUCGCGCGAUUGGAGCGGCCGAUAUCAGAUUAGGUAGUUGGUGGGGUAAAGGCCCACCAAGCCGACGAUCUGUAGCUGGUCUGAGAGGACGACCAGCCACACUGGGACUGAGACACGGCCCAGACUCCUACGGGAGGCAGCAGUGGGGAAUUUUGGACAAUGGGCGCAAGCCUGAUCCAGCAAUGCCGCGUGCAGGAUGAAGGCCUUCGGGUUGUAAACUGCUUUUGUACGGAGCGAAACGGCUUCCACUAAUACUGGGGGCUAAUGACGGUACCGUAAGAAUAAGCACCGGCUAACUACGUGCCAGCCGCCGCCGUAA
RNAcentral lists this ribosomal RNA (500 nucleotides) under uncultured bacterium. Its description in RNAcentral is "partial 16S ribosomal RNA". It matches the Rfam family "Bacterial small subunit ribosomal RNA", at positions 29 to 523 of the family's 1533-position model. The record is from RNAcentral.